This is a long non-coding RNA of Centrocercus urophasianus (Greater sage-grouse), 1297 nucleotides long. RefSeq lists it as uncharacterized. The record is from RefSeq and is a predicted model, not a curated record. The transcript is spliced from 4 exons. Lineage: Eukaryota; Metazoa; Chordata; Aves; Galliformes; Phasianidae.
UCCACGCCUGGUUUGCAGUUCAUUGAGUCCCUGCAAGAGCUGCCUCAAAUGGCUCUUUAAUUACAGCUCUCAGCAGGUAAGUAAAACCUCCUGUAAGUCACACCGCUGUCCCACGUUUUCACAGGUUCUUCUAUACUGCUAUUGUCAGAAAGCCACCAAAAGCUUAAAAGUCACAGAAGGUAACAUUUUCACAAGGAAACCAUACUGUGUUUUUUAACCUACCACACAAACCACCAUAUUUAAAAACUCUGCAGUGCUUCUGUAUGAUUGUUCCCACGGAAUUUGAAGGAGGCAGCUGAGUUCACAUGCAGUCAACUACAUUGCUGGAUCCUUGGCCCACAUCACGGAUCUGGCUGCUGAGGCAGGCGCACACAGCAACGCCUGCCCCAGCUCUGCAGUGCGACACAGAGCCAACGAGUUCCCACCUGGAGAACAGUGCAAAGGAGAAGACAAGUUAGUAGAAGAUCAGAUUGGAACCUCCACAGGAACACAGAUUCUCACUGAAUAAAGAUAACAGGAUGAGGGACGGCCGGGAGGAGGAAGAGGGAGGAGGAUGUGCUUAAUUAUUUCAAGAAGAACCCAGUGACAUGAGCAGCACUCCCACAUCCCUUAUGAGCACAUCAUACAGGACAGCUCUGUCCAACACAGAGCCCUGGCCUACUCACCAACAACAUACAGGCAACCAUGGAGCUCACUGACGCCGUUGCCGGCUCUUCGCUGGCCCAUCUCUUUCACUUCCAUCCACUUGUCCAAAUGGGGAUCGUAUUUCUCCACGCUGGAAAGAGACGCUAUGCCAUCGUUGCCACCCACAGCGUAGACGUGGUUCUGAAAAAGUUGCAUAGGAGGAAAGUUUGUUCAGAAAACUUACGUAAUAUUUGAAAAGCAGCCCUGGAUCCUGGCCCUGACCUGAGAGGAAACAAACUCACCAUGAGGGCUACGGAGCCAACUCCCCCCCGGGGCGUGUUCAUGGGGGCUAUCGCACUCCACCGAUCGGACUCGACGUCGUACCUUUCCACAUCACUGAAGCACGUGUUGUCAUCCAGACCUCCUAUUGCGUAAAUGGGGCCCCCGAGGGAAGCAAGAGCAAUUCCUCUCCUAAGAGAACCACAGAAUCAGUGCCUCAGUGCAUAUCCUUAAAGGGGAUGGGAAAGACAUCAGGUGCAACGUUAAUUGACCGGAACACCAUUCUCUAAGGAGGGCUUGCCAGACCUCGCGAUAAAAUGAAACAACCAGCUACAGCUAAUUGCCAAAGUCUGGAGGGAGCAGAGGACAGACUGGGUGGCAGAGAGGACUACAA